AUUGCUUCUUGGCCUUUUGGCUAAGAUCAAGUUUAGUAUCUGUUCUUGUCAGUUUAAUAUCUGAUACAUCCCCUAUGUGGGGACAAUAUAUUUACUGGAUUUUUGAGAACGGGGGCCGAUUUUUAAAGCUUGCUUCCGUCGCCCCAUGCAUUGUGACCCCAUAUGGCAGUAUCUUCGGGUACAGUGCACCAAAA
Hyla sarda is the source of this 194-nucleotide small nuclear RNA. RefSeq annotates it as U2 spliceosomal RNA. The transcript has a single exon. The record is from RefSeq and is a predicted model, not a curated record. Lineage: Eukaryota; Metazoa; Chordata; Amphibia; Anura; Hylidae.